AUCGCGUCAUCCACUGACGUCACCGCACACGCGAGACCCCGCCCCGUCCUGCGAAACCCUGAAAUAACCGCCAAUGAGCGCGGCGCAUGCUCUGUGGAAGGCGGCCGUGUGAGUAACGUGGACCCUUCCAGUACAGAUGAAAUCUUUGGAUCUCAAGCAAUAAUUCCACCAUUUCAGGAGUGAAAAGAUCAGGUGACGAUAACCAACCAAAUCUUAAGGGGCCGUGCGCGGGUCCCGCUUCAGAUACUCCCCCAGUUCAUUCUGCAGUAGAUCCUUCAGUUCUCUCCGACUCAACUUGUACUUAUCACCUUCACGGGCCGAGUACGUGUGGAAAACAGAGAUAAGUGUCUCCAUGGCUUCUUCCAGCUGCGAAGACAUCUCUGAGGAGGACAAAACGGGCUCAGUGCUGCCCCCAGUGGCUGUAGGGAUAUAUGACAGCGGGAUCGUCCCAUCCAUGACUCAGAGCCCGGUCUGUGCCUCCUCCUUCCUGUUAUCCCGGGAUGGGAAUGUAAGUAAGAAGAACCUUGUACUUACCGUAUUACUAACCCCC
Hyla sarda is the source of this 550-nucleotide long non-coding RNA. RefSeq lists it as uncharacterized. The record is from RefSeq and is a predicted model, not a curated record. The transcript is spliced from 4 exons. NCBI's taxonomy places the organism in Eukaryota, Metazoa, Chordata, Amphibia, Anura, Hylidae.